This 2183-nucleotide ribosomal RNA is filed under the name Triticum aestivum (bread wheat). Its description in RNAcentral is "partial small subunit ribosomal RNA". Lineage: Eukaryota; Viridiplantae; Streptophyta; Magnoliopsida; Poales; Poaceae. The record is from RNAcentral.
GGGUAGAGGAGGCGGCGGCGCCGCCGCGUCGGAUUAGCCGCCCACCGUCUAUGGUGCUUAUGCUGUGGUUGUUGGUGAGGAGCGGACAGCGGUGAGGCGAGAGGGGAGGGGAGAAGGAUGGAGGGAGGGAGGAGCAGUGGCGAGGCGAGGUGAGGUGUGGGGACAAGGGUCUGCGUUGGUGGCGGCGGCUGCUGGCUGCUACGAAGCGCGGCAGGAGGAGGCGAGUCGGAGGCCGGAGGCGGCCAGUGGCUACCGGCGGGGCGAUAGGUGGCGGCGGCGGAGGACCGAGCGGCUCCCCUGGAGCAGCGUCGGAUCCCACGCGGAGGAGUAGCCGCCGCUGAAGCAGCUCAGCUUCCGGUGCCUCGUGCAGCUGCAGUGGUUGGGGCGCUGCGUCCUCCACCACAGGGCCUAGGGCGAGUGGUGGCGGCUGCUCAAGUCCCGGCGCCACCUGCGACGGUCCUGGCGGAAGGGUCCGACCGCCUCGUGCGGUCAGUGCCGCGCCGUCGCGUAGUACAAGUUUAUGGUCCUCGAGUAGGCCCGGUUGUACCUAUUCGACCGUCUCUUGUAAUGUUGGCUCGUCCCUUUCUGCGACUUUCUACGAACCCCACUACAUAAGGCACCAGAUCUCCACCACCUCGUACGAACACCUUACCCCAGUGACGUUUACCCGCUUAUGCAUAGAUUACAAAGAGUACCCUAACUGUGGAAAUCAUAAUCCCUCGGUGAACCGCAUACACGACCCUAUACGGGUAAGUUAAAGGGACGGUACUAAGGGGAUACCUACAAGGGGUAUCGACAAUGAACACCGUUAUGAAAACAAGAUUUCGGUAGUCUUUUCCUAGGUCCCCGACGAUACUACGAACGCCUCGAUCGCUACCUCCGACCAAAUGGUUUCCCACACAACUUGUAACAAGUACCAUGGGUACUACAACAGUUGUUAUAAACACUACUGCUCCGAUAAUUCCGUCAUAGUAAACAACCAAGGUUAUGUCGUCCAUACGUAUAUAUAAGAUCUCGUAGACGCUCACCCUUCGCACAAGUCACAUUGUACCCACGUUUCUUAGUACGGUAAUAGGAAGGACUACGACUAGCUCUACGGUGUAACUUACGGGAAUAACGACGGCCAAAACCACGUCGACCCGUUUCCACGUACCGUAACUCGUGACGACAAAAACAACCUCCAAGUCUUGGUACCCUCCUACUUGAUCAGUUUGCACGUUCGUCGGAACAUCAAUUAUGGCCUUGUCGAUUACUACGUCUAGAACCAGGUCACUAGUCAUCUGUCCGGUUCCUGGCGUAGACGUUCAAUCAGGUUUCACCGCGACUGUCACCACGAGCUGAACACGACCUACCCUCCCUCUAACACCAAGGAGUUAAACUCCUACCGUUGAAAUAACCAGGUUGACACAACCGACUACAAUUUCCACUAUACUUCACAAUGGUCCUCCUUUAAAAACCAGGUCAAGAAGAGAACUACUUCCGUCUCUCGGAUCUACUACGGUAUGUUUAACAUUUGUCUUUGUUCAUACCGUUACCCCGAAGGUAGAAAUGGUGUAGACCACAGAGUCGUUCCUUUAAAGUCUGCCUGUAACUUCGACCGGUCCACCCAUAGUUGCACGGUUAGGGUCAUGGGGACGGUAAGAAGAGGAAGUGCCCGUCGUUUCGAAGGAAGCGUCCUCUGAACUUAAAGAUGCCGUUCCGCCCGCACGUCAAGAAGUGGGUCUAGUUCUGGUAGUGCGUCGUCACCUUCCUCAGCAGAGGGGUCGCGCAAAGAGAGAGGUACGGGUGGAGCGUCUUCACUUCAGUGGGCUCGAUCGAGUACAUACACCUUUAUUUGGGUCCGUAACUACACCUUAAAUUCGAAGUGUCCUCAACGAAAGCAAUUCCCAUUGAGAACACUACAGAAAGUAACACGACGGCUAUUAUUCUUUCUUUUAGGGUCUAAUCUGCUGGCUUAGUGUGUGUGUGUCCUCUCGUACAUAAACAUGUCCCUGGUUUAGUUACACUUGUACGUUACCGAGUUAUAAUGUAACAGUGACUUGAACGUCGGUUUAGCGGCACACCCCGUACCGCCGGCCUCCGCCGGAUCUUUACUUCGAGAACGACCGGAGAUACACUUUAAUCUAGAAUUGGGUGUGAAAUGAAAGGGUAAACUACUAGUGGGGUGGUGAGAGUUUCUAACU